AGAAUCAACGCUGGCGGCGUGCCUAACACAUGCAAGUCGAUCGAGAAAGUGGAGCAAUCCAUGAGUAAAGAGGCGCACGGGUGAGUAACACGUGACUAACCUACCCUCGAGUGGGGAAUAACCUGGGGAAACCCGGGCUAAUACCGCAUAAUACCCACGGGUCAAAGGAGCAAUUCGCUUGAGGAGGGGUCGCGGCAGAUUAGUUAGUUGGCGGGGUAAUGGCCCACCAAGACGAUGAUCUGUAUCCGGCCUGAGAGGGCGCACGGACACACUGGAACUGAAACACGGUCCAGACUCCUACGGGAGGCAGCAGUGGGGAAUUUUGCGCAAUGGGGGAAACCCUGACGCAGCAACGCCGCGUGGAGGAUGAAGUCCCUUGGGACGUAAACUCCUUUCGACCGGGACGAUAAUGACGGUACCGGGUGAAGAAGCCCCGGCUAACUUCGUGCCAGCAGCCGC
This 459-nucleotide ribosomal RNA is filed under the name uncultured bacterium. Its description in RNAcentral is "SSU rRNA". It matches the Rfam family "Bacterial small subunit ribosomal RNA", at positions 26 to 518 of the family's 1533-position model. The record is from RNAcentral.